CGCGUCUAAUUCAAUAAGCAAACGGUCGAUUGCUGCGAUCACAGCCGAUAAUUAAUGCAAUCAGAAGCAAUUUUGCGCGCAAUUCCGUUCCCGCUCCCGCGAUUUUGUCUUCGGUGGAAGGGCGGAAUUGAGGACAAACGAGACAAGGGAACAAACCGAGUUCAAGGGGAAGGGGCGAAACUCGGAUUCCCGGGGAAAAACAGACACAGAAGCCGGUAGUGGAGUGGUGUCACAGGAUUAAAUCUCUGACGAUCGACCUGUACCUAAUGAAAUUUACUGCCUUGUAUUUCCUUAAUUACAACUUACUAUCACGCUAUUGUCCGUGAAUAAUGAAUUCCUCGUGCGAAAGAACACAACAUUUCAAUCUUUAAUACAGUUGUAAUUAUUUCAAGUAAAUAUUUAUCGAGAGCAAACUCACGUUCACCGCAUCUACGCCGGCUCGGUGCAGAAGAAAUGUCCUAAAUCCCUAUGUGUAACAUAAAGAGAAACGAUACCAUGGAAGGUGGAAUGUAGAGCAAUCUUCGUGGCUCGUGUUGUGGAGGAAAACGAUACUUCUAGUCACAUCUGGAAAUGCGUUGUACGGCUUCGCGUUUCGAACAGAUUCUGUCUUUCGAUUCUCUCACUCCAUCUCACUAUAGAGCUCCAUCUGUACAAUUCGAAUUUAGAGCUUUUUGACUCAGUGGAAUCGAAGUAAAAUUGUAUUAGUUCGUUAGAUGUUCGAAUUGUACCAUGUGGAUGAAUAUAAUCUACGUAUGUAUAUUGCACGCGAACUUUUUCAAUUAAAAAUGAUCACCAUUGUAAAUUAUGGUAGUACAAAUCGAGAUAUUGGGAAAAUAUGGAACCAUGCAUCGUCGAUUUGACGAGUACGUUUAUGUGACACUUGUUACUUAUUAGUUGAUAAGUGGCAGGUCUUUAAAAUGGAAAUGGCAUAGUUGGUCAAAUGACGAAGGAUUUAAUUUAAAAUAUAUCUAACUGUUGCUGGGUGAUAUUAUUUACGCUCAGACAUUAUGAUUGGUUAUCAAACUUGAAAUAUGUCAGGAUGCAGGUUUUCUCGUUGUUGGACUAGCUUCAUAGAGCUGAUUUUCCGAUGGAAUUUUGAGGAAUGAAUUUUUUGAUUAGCGGAAGAGGUGAUAUGCAAAUACUGAUACUUGAAUACUGAACCAAUACUGAUACUUGAAAAAACGACAAUUUCCAAUUGACCUAUAUUGUUCGUCGUGGUGUCAAGCAGUACGUUCGUCAGAAUUUUAUUUCGCGUCGUCGUCAACUUUAAGGAAACAUCGCGUGAGCUAUAACCGUGGCUCGCGGUGACACGAGCACGCUUAUAGCGAA
Molecule: long non-coding RNA, 1329 nt
Organism: Bombus terrestris (buff-tailed bumblebee)
Lineage: Eukaryota; Metazoa; Arthropoda; Insecta; Hymenoptera; Apidae
Exons: 3
Source: RefSeq, a predicted model, not a curated record